CAGAGGAAAAAGAGAAAUUAGUGAGGGUGGUCUUAUAGAUGUGGAUCAUGAGGACAUUAUGCUUAUUGUGCCUCCACUUUUUGCUCUGAAGCAUAUGCCAGAAAAUUUUGUGCCUCCACUUUUUGCAUUCUUCCACAACCACCACUUAUUAACCAUUCUCCCACUUUGCGAGAUAUAUGCCAGCCUCAUGUCCCCACCCAUAUUUUGCAAAGGAUGGAAGAGAUUGGAUAUGUGAUGCGUACAGAUGUUCAGAGGGAGGCUUUGCCUCAUCUUUUCUCCGGCCGUGACUGUAUACUUCAUGCUCAGAUUAGGUUAUUCUGCUCUUUUCAAUUU
Non-coding RNA from Arachis ipaensis, 333 nucleotides. The record is from RefSeq and is a predicted model, not a curated record. NCBI's taxonomy places the organism in Eukaryota, Viridiplantae, Streptophyta, Magnoliopsida, Fabales, Fabaceae.